This is a non-coding RNA of Xyrichtys novacula (pearly razorfish), 1933 nucleotides long. NCBI's taxonomy places the organism in Eukaryota, Metazoa, Chordata, Actinopteri, Labriformes, Labridae. The record is from the annotation of a GenBank genome assembly.
GCAGCUGACCUUUGGGUCGCCACAGCGGCCGAUCCAAUAUGGCCGCCAAGUAUUGUACUUUUAGUGAAGCCCUAGCUGAACACACUUUUUCAUACAGUCCCAUAGUGCAUGUGCUGUCAUUCCCACCUGCUGCCAGCAGAGGACGUCACAUGCAUGAUGAAUAAUGCCGUUCUCUGGCUGUCCUAAGUACUGUCAGACGAGAGCCAAAGGUUCAUGGAAGGUGAAAUAAUUCCUUUUUUUGUCGAUUCCCACAGCUGGAUGAUGAUAUUGGUAGAACUGGUUUUAGACCCACAAAGGUCACAGUAUUUACCAGCUGACAGUGUCACAAAAAUACACUUUUAACAAGCAAUGCGUUUUGGGGGAAUUUUAAUAGUUGCUAAAUAAUAAUCACAGAAAGGACAAUCUCACAUUAAGGUGUGUUUUAUAUUUAAAAAGAAAAGAAGCUAAGUCCAUGAAGUCUCGGGAAAAAAGAUGGGAAUAGGUUCACCAUUCUGAGAGACUGUGGAUUUUGCCACUUUUUGGUAGGCCUAGCUGCAAUGAUCCAUAAGGCGACUGAAGUUGUAUGAGUACGGCUUUUUCUGAAAUGUUUUAAAUAAAAGGAAGCCUCGAUAUAGUGUCAAAAAUGAUUGGGGUGGCUCAUGGUGGCAUACCUUGUGACUCUAGAGCAAAGUUUGUCGUGCAAAGCCUCUCUUUCUGAGUUAUCUGCAUGAUUUCAAAGUCACUUCUGAACGCCACCCAGCAGGCCCAAAGUCAUCCUCUGAUUUUUACCAGUCCUUGAGGAGCUGAUGGGUCAACUAUUAAGACAAUGUCCCCAAUAUUAAAGUCCAUUUUUACUUGAGUGAUGAAGGACCAUGUACCUGUACACCAAGUACAACCUCCUGUCUUGAGAAAUGAAGCUGAUGUUCAAGUGCUAAAAAGUACAGUACUCCAAGGUCCCGCUUGAGGCUGGCUGCAGAAGCAUUACAAACCACGAACACAAAGAGCUCUAAAAGCCUGAGCAAAAAUAAACACAUUUACAGCCUGACUCAAAAACAGUUUGGUCUGAUACAUUGUGGCAAGAAGGAGAGUGAGGCAGGCCCUCCCUCCUCAGAGGUAAGGGGAGGGGCUUGCCACUCAUCAGAGUAAGUGAAUGCACCUGAGUGCUGAGAGAAGGAGAGGGCAGACAGACAGUGCAGGGCCAGGAGAGAGGUGACAGGAAAGUGAGACAAAGAAAAGUUUGUGAGCUGACUGGAGAAAUAAAACUGAAAGGACACCAGCAACGGAGAAACCCCCCGGAGUGUGUGGAACCGACCGUCUCAAGGGUCAAUGGUCAGGCACUCGGAGCCUCCUCAUUCUGGAGUAAAACCUUGACUGUUAAACCAGCUCAGAUAAGUUGACGUUAAUUGUUUCCCGGCUUUCCCCGUCCUCUUGGUCCCUGUCUGGAUUCCCUGUUCCCUUCCACCUCCCUCCCCCCAUACACCUACAACACUCCACACCACAUACCAACAAACUUGAACUGGACUCUUUUUUUUCCACAUACACCCACAUAGCAUUCCCCCCACACACACACGUCACUCACACACUUACAUUUUGGACAUAUACAAAAGAACUGGACUUCACACACACACACUCAUUUAUUUUCUCAUUUUUGCUAUUUUUUAAGGAUCUUGGGACUAUUAUUUAAAGUUGUAUUUGGUUUUUGUUGAAUGCGGUUUUGUGCUAUUUUGAUUAGUUUGUCCCUGUUUUGCUUUAUUGAACAUUUAACUUUGAUAAAAAGUAUUUUUUCUUUACUCCCGAAUCUUUUGUUGAAAUUUUGUAGCAGGGGUAUCGAUCGAGCUAGUCGUAUUUUCUUUAGAAUAUUUCUGUAGAUUAAGUCUCAGGGUAUUUUGAUUUUUUAUAAAUUCAUGAUAGGAUGAUUAGUUCCCCUGUCUGGCGCCCAACUCCAAACCUAACC